This 25-nucleotide non-coding RNA is filed under the name Rattus norvegicus (Norway rat). Lineage: Eukaryota; Metazoa; Chordata; Mammalia; Rodentia; Muridae. The record is from RNAcentral.
UCUUUGUGAGUUUGGAGGUGGACCC